This 756-nucleotide ribosomal RNA is filed under the name uncultured bacterium. RNAcentral describes it as "bacterial SSU rRNA". It matches the Rfam family "Bacterial small subunit ribosomal RNA", at positions 57 to 810 of the family's 1533-position model. The record is from RNAcentral.
GCAGUCGACGGCAGCACGGACUUCGGUCUGGUGGCGAGUGGCGAACGGGUGAGUAAUAUAUCGGAACGUGCCCAGUCGUGGGGGAUAACGUAGCGAAAGUUACGCUAAUACCGCAUACGAUCUAAGGAUGAAAGCGGGGGAUCGCAAGACCUCGCGCGAUUGGAGCGGCCGAUAUCAGAUUAGGUAGUUGGUGGGGUAAAGGCUCACCAAGCCAACGAUCUGUAGCUGGUCUGAGAGGACGGCCAGCCACACUGGAACUGAGACACGGUCCAGACUCCUACGGGAGGCAGCAGUGGGGAAUUUUGGACAAUGGACGAAAGUCUGAUCCAGCCAUUCCGCGUGCAGGAUAAAGGCCCUCGGGUUGUAAACUGCUUUUGUGCGGAACGAAAAGGUCUUUAUUAAUACUAGGGGCUCAUGACGGUACCGUAAGAAUAAGCACCGGCUAACUACGUGCCAGCAGCCGCGGUAAUACGUAGGGUGCAAGCGUUAAUCGGAAUUACUGGGCGUAAAGCGUGCGCAGGCGGUUAUAUAAGACAGAUGUGAAAUCCCCGGGCUCAACCUGGGAACUGCAUUUGUGACUGUAUAGCUGGAGUGCGGCAGAGGGGGAUGGAAUUCCGCGUGUAGCAGUGAAAUGCGUAGAUAUGCGGAGGAACACCGAUGGCGAAGGCAAUCCCCUGGGCCUGCACUGACGCUCAUGCACGAAAGCGUGGGGAGCAAACAGGAUUAGAUACCCUGGUAGUCCACGCCCUAAACGAU